Molecule: transfer RNA, 89 nt
Filed under: Acrocarpospora corrugata
Lineage: Bacteria; Bacillati; Actinomycetota; Actinomycetes; Streptosporangiales; Streptosporangiaceae
Description: tRNA-Thr
Source: RNAcentral
UCGGGGCGCGGGCGGGGCUGGCGGCGGCGCGGUACGCCGCGACGGCCGGGCCGCCGGACGGCGCCGCGGUCCGGGCCCAGGGCGCCGAC